UGGGGAAUCUUGGACAAUGGGCGAAAGCCUGAUCCAGCCAUGCCGCGUGUGUGAAGAAGGUCUUCGGAUUGUAAAGCACUUUAAGUUGGGAGGAAGGGCAGUAAGCGAAUACCUUGCUGUUUUGACGUUACCGACAGAAUAAGCACCGGCUAACUCUGUGCCAGCAGCCGCGGUAAUACAGAGGGUGCAAGCGUUAAUCGGAAUUACUGGGCGUAAAGCGCGCGUAGGUGGUUCGUUAAGUUGAAUGUGAAAGCCCCGGGCUCAACCUGGGAACGGCAUCCAAAACUGGCGAGCUAGAGUAGGGCAGAGGGUGGUGGAAUUUCCUGUGUAGCGGUGAAAUGCGUAGAUAUAGGAAGGAACACCAGUGGCGAAGGCGACCACCUGGGAUCAUACUGACACUGAGGUGCGAAAGCGUGGGGAGCAAACAGG
This 429-nucleotide ribosomal RNA is filed under the name Pseudomonadota bacterium. Its description in RNAcentral is "Proteobacteria bacterium partial 16S ribosomal RNA". It matches the Rfam family "Bacterial small subunit ribosomal RNA", at positions 355 to 776 of the family's 1533-position model. Lineage: Bacteria; Pseudomonadati; Pseudomonadota. The record is from RNAcentral.